RNAcentral lists this ribosomal RNA (496 nucleotides) under uncultured bacterium. RNAcentral describes it as "partial 16S ribosomal RNA". It matches the Rfam family "Bacterial small subunit ribosomal RNA", at positions 29 to 507 of the family's 1533-position model. The record is from RNAcentral.
ACGCACGCUGGCGGCGUGCCUAAUACAUGCCAGUCGCACGAGAGCGACCGGUGCUUGCACUGGUCAAUCUAGUGGCGAACGGGUGAGUAACACGUGGGUAACCUGCUCAUCAGAGGGGGAUAACAUCCGGAAACGGAUGCUAAAACCGCAUAGGUCUUCGAGCCGCAUGGUUUGAAGAGGAAAAGAGGCGCAAGCUUCUGCUGAUGGAUGGACCCGCGGUGCAUUAGCUAGUUGGUGAGGUAACGGCUGACCAAGGCCGUGAUGCAUAGCCGACCUGAGAGGGUGAUCGGCCACAUUGGGACUGAGACACGGCCCAAACUCCUACGGGAGGCAGCAGUAGGGAAUCUUCCGCAAUGGACGCAAGUCUGACGGAGCAACGCCGCGUGAGUGAAGAAGGUUUUCGGAUCGUAAACUCUGUUGUUAGAGAAGAACAAGUGCUAGAGUAACUGUUAGCGCCUUGACGGUAUCUAACCAGAAAGCCACGGCUAACUACGUG